GGUCUCCGCGGACCCUCCCGGCCUCCCGCCUCCGGGCGUGGUCGGCGCCCGCCGGAGUGAUAACCAAACUCUGAUUUAACGACGUUUCUUCUGAGUGGUACAAGCAAAUAAUCAAAACUUUUAACAACGGAUCUCUUGGUUCUGGCAUCGAUAAAACGCAGCGAAAUGCGAUAAGUAAUGUGAAUUUGCAGAAUUCAGUGAAUCAUCGAAUCUUUGAACGCACAUUGCGCCCGCCAGCAUUCUGGCGGGCAUGCCUGUUCGAGCGUCAUUUCAACCCUCAAGCUCUGCUUGGUGUUGGGGCCCUACAGCUGAUGUAGGCCCUCAAAGGUAGGUGGGCGUGACCCUCCCGGAAGCCUUCCUUUGGCGGUAAGUAACCUUUUACGUCUCGGCACUGGGAUCCGGGAGUGGGACCUCUUGGGCCUGUAAAAACCCCCAAAUUUUUCCAAAAGGGUUGAACUCGGAAUCNAACGUUAGAAUACCCCGGGUUUAAACUUUAAGGCAUUAUUCAAUAAGCGGGAAGGAAACACUAAUCCAU
RNAcentral lists this ribosomal RNA (535 nucleotides) under Glomerellaceae sp. 1 UFMGCB 4704. RNAcentral's name for it is "eukaryotic LSU rRNA". The stretch from base 116 to 268 matches the Rfam family "5.8S ribosomal RNA". The record is from RNAcentral. Lineage: Eukaryota; Fungi; Ascomycota; Sordariomycetes; Glomerellales; Glomerellaceae.